GUGGGGAAUCUUGCGCAAUGGGCGAAAGCCUGACGCAGCCAUGCCGCGUGAAUGAUGAAGGUCUUAGGAUUGUAAAAUUCUUUCACCGGGGACGAUAAUGACGGUACCCGGAGAAGAAGCUCCGGCUAACUUCGUGCCAGCAGCCGCGGUAAUACGAAGGGGGCUAGCGUUGCUCGGAAUUACUGGGCGUAAAGGGCGCGUAGGCGGACAGCUUAGUCAGAGGUGAAAGCCCAGGGCUCAACCUUGGAAUUGCCUUUGAUACUGACUGUCUUGAGUUUGGGAGAGGUGAGUGGAACUCCGAGUGUAGAGGUGAAAUUCGUAGAUAUUCGGAGGAACACCAGUGGCGAAGGCGGCUCACUGGCUCGAUACUGACGCUGAGGUGCGAAAGCGUGGGGAGCAAACAGGAUUAGAAACCCCAGUAGCC
Molecule: ribosomal RNA, 424 nt
Filed under: uncultured bacterium
Lineage: Bacteria
Description: partial 16S ribosomal RNA
Rfam family: Bacterial small subunit ribosomal RNA
Source: RNAcentral